UUGUGUCCCUACAAGGUUAGUUGUACAAGUCUGUGUUUUUGUGUGUGUGUGAGACAGGUGUUCCCGUACAGUGGGAUGUGAGUCAGGAAUGAGGAAUCCACCAGUGAGGGUUCAUUUAUUUUGGCGGGAAACCGAGAGUUACCUUCAACACACACACACACACCACAGGCCACACACCACGCAUACUCCACGAGAAAGGACCACAGGCAACUUCCUAGCAUUCUCCACUGCAUUCCGUGUGUGUGUGUGUGUGUGUGUGUGUGUGUGUGUGUGAUGGCAUGUAAACGUAGUGUCUCCAUGUGUUUCCAUUCCAGUGAAAUGGUGUUUAACAUCUAGUUUGGGCAGAUAUCUCUCUCUCACCAUGAUUACAACCUUUUGAAGGCCAGCAAAAUGUUUUUUUUUUCAUGAAACAUCGGUUUAAUCCUUUCAACAAGUUGUUUUUGAUUGUAGUCUGAGGAUUCCUUUGCCCCUUCUACCCUCCAAGGUUUCCAACACAAUGGCAGCCCGUCAUAACCACAACCACAAUAACACAAUCCCAACACAACAGUCACACUAACCAUUACAAAUGUGAAUCAUGGCAGUCAGAGGAUGUUUUCACUCGGAAACAGUACCGACUGCUGUGUGUUAGAAGAACUGCAACAGAGGAAGACAACCAAUCUAUAUACAGAAAGGAGUAAAGGGAGAAUCUUAGAGAGUGUUUUGGAGAGUGGCAGAGAAAGAAGGAAUUGGAGAGAAAAGAGGAUGAGGGGGAGAGGAAGAGAGAGAGUGAGGCUCACUGCCUGUUGACUCACUGAGCAGGAAUGACUUGACUGGUCAUGAUCUGUAUGACUGAGCAGUGCGCAAGCUCUCUCUUUCUCACACACGCUCUCUCUCUCUCGCACUCUCUCACCACAGACACACUCACCCGCUGAGUGGAGAGCUCCAGGACAGGCUGCUCUCGCAGCACAGCCUCAGGGACUUAGAGGUACUCUGCUGGGGAAGAGAGACAGGCAGGGACCCCCCCCCCCCUGGAGCUCACUGGAACUUACUCUGUUUUUCUCUCCCUCUCUUUUUGUCUGUUCCCUCUCACUCAGUCUCUCUCCCCUUUCUCUCCCAUUAUCUCUCUAUUUCUACUCUCUCCUUCCGUCUCUUUCCCUCUCUCUCCUUCCGUCUCUUUCCCUCUCUCCUCUCCUUCUCAGGACGGACACAGGAUGUGAAGAGAGCAGGUGGCUGACAGUCUCACAGCAACAGUAGGUUACUUUUUCUAUUUUCAUUUUUUCAUGUUUAUAAUAUAUUACAGGGAGUUUGUUAGUGUGUUUUCGUUCCAAGGACUUGGAGUCAUAUUGGAACACAUCACUGCAAGUCUGGACAGAUUCAGAGGAGAUUCAGAUCAUGAUCUUAAUAAGUGGAAUGCCGUGAUUAUUCUCAGAACUCAUUGUUCACCUACUGCCAGAGCUUUAGGCGACCCUUUGGCUAGGUUAGUGAUGAUAUGGUGCAGCUCUGUGCUUAGUCAUUAGUAGGGAUCUAUGAUGUAGUCUGUCUGUUCGCUGUAAUGACUGAGGUCAUUUAUCUCCAUUAUAUCUCCUCCUCCUCUGAUUGCUGUGGAAUACGAGAGGCUAGAGAGGGAGUUAACCUACCUACUGUACGGUUGUGAACGGGUCAACUCAGUUAGGAGCCCAUAUCAAUUAGAAAGGGACUCCAAGGGACAUUAGAAUGGACAAGACUUUCCAAGGCGUGUUUGAAUCAGAUUUAUUGUGCAACAUUCCGGUUUCUGAGACCAAUCUUACAGAGACACACACACACCUACACCUGAGGUAACUAUAGCUGUUGACUCAGCUGGUUUUGUGUUUCUGUGAGGCUCCUCCUCACACCUCCGUAUGUGCUUGGAAUCAGCGUGUGAAUGGCUGGGAGGGGUGGGUGUGGCACGCACCACUGUACCUUGACCUAACACCCGCAAUGCCCACACACUCGUAAACCUGUAUCUUCACAAGCACACUCUUACAUACAAGGUAAGGGCAUGGCAAAGUUUGUGAUUUAUACUGGACUAAUUCAGCUAGGGGCUCCUUCCUUCUCCCUAUCCUUCGGAUGAUAGGUGAACACACCUGGUUGGUCCUACUGUGUGUGUGUCUGCUGUAAUAGAAAGGCCUCAUUCUGUCAGUAUGGCUGAUUCACUGUAGGGGGGAGGCCGGGGGAGCUUAAAACCUGCUCGUCUCUCAGGUGACACACACAUAUAUAUACACACACACACACACACACACACACACUUAUCUCUGCUGGUCAGACUUAGCAGUGUGUUUGUGGCCAUAGAUCAUGUCCCUCUAAUUGAAAAUGAAGCUCCUGUUCUCAUGGCUCUGGAUGUAUGGGGACUGGAGUUGUCUUUGUGCCUCACUAGAGUGGCCCAGAUUCAGUCAGGUCAGCUUGGGUCUCCACUUCAGGGUUAGUAGACAGGUCAGGGUCAAUGGCAUGGUUGUGUUUGUGUGUGUGUGUGUGUGUGUGUGUGUGUGUGUGUGUGUGUGUGUGUGUGUGUGUGUGUGUGUGAAAGAAAGAAAGAAAGAAAGAAAGAAAGAAAGAAAGAAAGAAAGAAAGAAAGAAAGAAAGAAAGAAAGAAAGAAAGAAAGAAAGAAAGAAAAAGUUGGAUACCACUGAGAGAGCAUGUGAACUGGGUCCGGUUUCCCACAAUGCCAAGUGUGUACAGAGAUAUGAGUCAUGGUCACUCAGGUGGAGCCCUCCUCUGUUCCUACAUCACCACAGAAACAGGCCUCUCAUUUUGUUAUCACUUACAGACUAAAUUGGGGCUACAUUGGAAUUGCCCCACUUGACCAACAAUCGCCGCCCUACUAGGGAAUAUGCUCUUUAAGGAAUAGCUAACACUUGGGAACUGAUAAGUGGGAUUGACAAUAAUCUGUGAUUAAUAUGUAGAUGUUUAAACUUCCUCUUCACUUUUUGGUUGGUAGUCUCUGCUGUUUGCUUGUCAACAGCCCUGUGGCGUGCCCAAGCCUGUGGCUAUUCCCAUUUCUCCUGGUAUUCCCAGUUCUCCUCCUGGCUUGGCUGGGCUCCUCUCCAGCUUCCUGUAGUGGAGUGUUUGGCAUCACACCGUGCCCAGGAACACACAUUGCAGCCAUGCCUGUGGGCAUGAAGUGUGCGUGUGGGAGAGAGAGAGGGAGAGAGAGGGAGUGUCAGGGGAGGUAGAGUAAAGGUACUGUCUCUCUCAAACACACACACACACACACACACACACACACACACACACUACUUAGCAGUGCCACACUUUCUCACAUGGUUGUGGGCUUCCUUUUCUUUACUAGUUUUUGUUGACCGCUGAGAUAGACAUACCCUCUGUGUUUGGUAGACCUGGAGUCAGAGGAGAGGACAGGAGAGGGGCCAGACUCACCCAGGUGGACAGAGGUAGGAGUGGACGGAAGGGGACACCCAUGGAGGAAGGUCACUCUGAUAUUUCCCACUACUGACCCCCUUGUCUUGCAUAGCCAGACAUCGUAUUCUUGCAAUCGCAAAAAUCAAAGCUAGUGACACGUUGAUGACUCGGCUGGUAUUCUUGUGCUUUCUCAGGAAAUGGGAGGCUGUGGAGGAUAUGACAAACAGCCCUCAUUCAGUCAGCAGACUAACUGGACAGCUCUACUGUACGCCACAGGGGACAGACCCUUGGCAGGCAGAGAGGUCGCUGAGCUCUGAGAACAACAGUUAGUUGGGUGGGUGAGUAACAUUGUAACAUUCAUGUUUGUUGGGUGAGUUCUAGAAUAGAAGACGAGUAGACUGGUUAGAUGUUGUUACAUAUUUCUUACAGUCAUUUAUUGUUGAUAGAUAAUGAUUGCUGUAAUGAAUUGUGCAUACAAAAUUGUAUAAUUGUCCUAUACUGUCUAAUAUUGUAAUGUGUUAUGUUUUCUUUAUGUUGACGUGACGAGAAUAGUAUCUAAAGAUAUGAUAGUAUUCUUAUAAUGUUGCUGCAGAUCUUCUUCACAGCUCUACUGUUAAGAGGCAGUGUCCAAAGUGUGGAGGAUGAUGUCACACGUCAGCUGUCCUCAUAGCUGGGCUACCAUGGCAACGACAUUCAUCAGAAUGACUUACUGCAAAAGCAAAGCACUGUCACGAUCACUUUCUGUACUGACAGAUCACUUUACGAGGAUAAUUAUUGUGUUUGUGUAAGGUUAAGCAUUGAAAUGCGAUGCCAAAUGAGUGGACUGUCUUUGUAAAUCUACUUGUUAUCCAUGUCACAACUGCUGCACAGUUUCUAAAUAAGCAAAGUGUCCUCCAAAAUCUUUGCUGCUGCCACGCAACCACUGCAUCCCUAUUGUCCGGCAGGGAAAGUCUUCCCCCAGAGGCUGGUUUCACAUGGUGGUUUAGAUUAAUGUUCCCAGUGUCUAGCACCAUUUGAAAUCAGUGUUCUUGGGGACAGGAGAACAGCACUGGGCCUCUGGUAGUGUCAAUCAGUCUACUGGAGCCAAUCCUCUCUCUCUCUCUCUCUCUCCCCUUUAAAGGAUGACUGAUUUCCUCUGGUGUUUAGAGCCCCUUACAGCCUUCUAGCACCAUUUGAAAUCGGUUAUAAUGACUGGGGAUCAAUGCCUCAAUGUCUUCACGAUGUCUACAUGUCAACUCUACAGUCAAGCAGACAGGAAAUGAAUUGGAUGAAUGUUCAUAUUAUACGUGUCACAGGGUCUGCUCUACAGAUCCUGGAAUCGCAAUGAGUUGGACAGGAGCUCAAUUCCAGUGGGACAGUUUAAAAGUUUUUAUUGAAUAAAUGUUCAAUAAAACUGAAUUGAUAUUGCAACCUUA
Long non-coding RNA from Oncorhynchus nerka (sockeye salmon), 4767 nucleotides. RefSeq lists it as uncharacterized. Lineage: Eukaryota; Metazoa; Chordata; Actinopteri; Salmoniformes; Salmonidae. The transcript is spliced from 2 exons. The record is from RefSeq and is a predicted model, not a curated record.